RNAcentral lists this long non-coding RNA (644 nucleotides) under Drosophila guanche. The record is from RNAcentral. Lineage: Eukaryota; Metazoa; Arthropoda; Insecta; Diptera; Drosophilidae.
GGACACUGGGCUGGACUGCAUUCUCAAGUGUCUGAAACACAGUGGACACACACACACACACAGGCAACAACCUGAAGCAUCUCUAAUUGAAUUUCGGGUUUUGCUGAUUCGAAUUCUGCUCAGAGUUCUGCUGCUGCUGCUGCUGCUGCUGCUCUGCUGCUGCAUGGCUGCAGUUGCGUGUUAUCUUGUAUUUGUUUAUUUUUAUAUUUUGCUGGCAGUCAGCCACUGAUGGAAAGAUUACUGCUGCAAGCCAAGGCAGGCUGCUGCCAGCAGCAGCUUGGAGCAGCUGUUGCUUGUCAGCCAUUGAGACAUUACAAAGCGAAGCCAUUUACAUGGCUGCACACACAUACACACACACACAAGCGCACAUACAUACACACAUACGCAGACACACCCCACACUCAUUUCAUUAUUAAAUCAAAAAAGUUGAGUAAAUUUCUGCCAGCGGCUGUACUCCCUGCCUGUCUUUUUCUCUGUGUGUGUUUGUAACAAUUCAACUUGAUUGCCAUUUGUUUUUAGCGAGCUGCUGCCCAACGCACCCCCCGCCCGCACACCCACGAACAGCACUACAUGCGGAAAAUGUUUUGCGGCCAACACACACACACACACACACACAUCAGCAUCUCCCUCUCCCACUCGACAGC